UAGGCUCAUUACAGCCUCUGCCCCCCCUUUUGGUUGACGUCCCGCCUCCGUGUUGGAAGAGCCGCGCUCAUUGGCGGCAGCGCCCUGCCUCUCGUCAUCCCUCUCAACCAACCCCUUUAGGCCUCACACGCCAUUGGAGGAACAGUGAGCAACAUGAUCUGGCAAGAAGAAGAGUGUGUUACUUGUCAAAAGUAUGCUUCAAAACCUUCCCGGAGCCUUCGAGUUUUAUAACAACAAGACACCUUCAAGUCAAAACCGAAAGGUCCCAGGUUCAAACCCUGGGAGCGGCGGAGCAGCGGGUGCAGCCGCUGUUAGCUCCAGCUUCUGCCAGCCUAGCAGUUCGAAAACAUGCCAAUCUGCCAAUGAUGUCUGUAGAACUCUUCUCCAGAACCAUAUCUCAAAUGAAUUGGUAAGUUGGUUUUCAAUAUACUGUGGUGUAAUAUGUCUGUUAUGUAGCUCUAUUUAAUUCAAGGAAAUGAACCUAUUGUACGGAUGAUCCAUGAGUCAAAUUGUCCAUAGGAUCAAAAUUACUGCAAUUCCGGUAGACUUUCUCAAAUAAUUCUUCCAUGAGUCUAGACUAGUGGUUCUCAACAUCUGGGUCUCCAGAUGUUUUGGCCUUCAACUCCCAGAAAUCCUAACAGUUGGUAAACUGGCUGGAAUUUCUGGGAGUUGUAGGCCAAAACACCUAGGGACCCACAGGUUGAGAACCACUGGUCUAGACGAUAAAUACGUCAUUGUUGCAUCACAGGUAGAAGAAAGGUUCAGGAAUACAAGAAAUUAGGAAGUGUUGUUCCAGGUCACACAUGAGUAUAUUUGCAUCCUGUGGUGCUGUAACAGUGCAUCAGUAACCCUGGCAGUUCAGCCGAGUUGUCCUGUCAGAGUAUUACCCAACUGCUAACUACAGAUGGCUAUUUCUUACAAUUUGCUUUCCUUUAUUAUUUUUAAAUUGGCAUGAAAUUAUCUCCAUUUCAGAUUCUCUUUGGUUAGCUUUACCAGCCUUUAUGUCAUCUUUAGGCUUUCUAAUGGGGUGCUACAGGAAUCUAAUCUCCACAACCAUUUUGCCUAAACAUUAUGGGACCUCUUUAUGGGAUGCAAACCACAGUGUUAUAUACUAAGACUUUAUAAAAUGUAUCCAAAUGUUCAAUGCAACACAUGCAUUUCAAAACAACAUUUUAAACAACUCAGAUUAUGACUUUAAAAUGCUUUGCCUAUUUUUGGUUCAUUUUAAGGGAUGAUGAUGAUUCUGGCCACAAUUGUUUAUUCUUGUUACCUGACACUUACAGAUCUACUGCACAAGCACUGGCAGAGAACAUCAGGGAGUGUUUGUGCAAACAUCAGAUACACCUGUCUUAUUUGGACCACCUCUUCCUUUCCCCUCAUUUGUCCCUCUAUUUCAAAUCUUCCUGUUUGACUCCCCCUUCUCUUUCAGCUUAAUGGCAUAUGCAAAUGCCGUUGCUGCAACAACUAGAUCAGGUAGUCACUGAAUCAGCCCAGCAGCUAUGUGGCCAUGCUACUGCUAUGUCCAUUUGCAAGGUAAAAAAUCGGGGGGGGGGGGGGCAAGUUUCAUAGUGUACCUCAGUGUACCAAUAGUUCCAGACUGCCAAAAAAAUAUAUCAUAGUUCCAGGUAUAAUCUCAACUCCUAUCUUCAGUUUUCAACUUUGUCUGCUUUCCAUAAACUGGCAAAACUAAGAGGCUCUACUUUAUGUAAUAGUACAGUUGCUUGUACAUCUACUUGUAACAAAACGUAAAAUCAAAUAAAAGUAAAUUGAAUAGAUUCACUAUGAUUGCCUGAAUAAAACUGAUUUUAAAUCGAAUACACCCAAACAUGCUGAUGUUAUUAUUAAUUAAGGUACUAAAAGAAAUAAUGUACAUUUAGUAUUUCAGAAUUUCUCCCUUAAAAUCCUCCUCUUCAUUAACAGAAAUAAACAGCACCUCUUCGCCAUGGGUUCAAACCUUUUGCAUCACAACUUCCCAGACUCUAUGUUUGUUAUCAUUUUGCAAAGAAAGAACUAGGAACUUUUUUUUCAUGACGGCUAGCAUCCUUGGACUCCAUUAGAAAAAUAAUAGAGGUCCUCCCAAUAUUUUUUUUAGAUCACAACCCAGUAUCUUUGACAUUGCUCAAUAAAGCGUUUUAAUUGGACAUUGUUGCAAGAUAGUCAUUGCCUUUUUGAAGCAAUGUUAGAAGUUAUUAGUAUCAAGUUUUAACAGAUGGAAAAAAUAUGCUUCCUAUAGAACCACAGACCCCUUCUACACUGACAGAUAAUCCAGGUUAUCAGAGCAGAAAAAAUCCACAUCUGAGUUGAACUGUAUUGUUUUAGUCUGUACUGCCAUAUAAUCCAGUUCAAAGCAGAUCAUGGGGAUUUUAUAUAGCUGUGUAGAAGGGACCACAGCUAAGGUUUUCUUUAAAAGAAGUUUAUUAAUGUGACAAUUAUAACCUCACGUUAAGUAAAUGGUAGCUACGUUUAUCCAGGAUUUGUUUUGUUCUUUUUAGUGUACAGUUCAUAUAGUCUUGCAUGUAAGUCAUACUUUGUGUCAAGGAUGUAACUCAAUAAAUGUCACUGUUUAGGAGCAGUUGAGUUUGAACAUCUAUGUCUAGUUUUCAAAUUUUCUUUACUGUGCAGGUGAGAGGUUUUCUAGUUUUCCCCAUUCAGUUGCGAUAUAAUUCUCUGUGUGCCUGGCCUAGCUUCAAAAUACAUCCAUUAUAAGAUUGAUAUGAUCUUUGAGUACUCUGAGACUUAUUUUACUGAUAUAUGAAAAGCUGUUCAUGUUGGAUAAUUCUUAUCUGCUAGUAUCUUCAUAAUGAGAGAUCCAGCAUGGUGUAGUGGUUGAAUGUUAGACUAUGACUCCAAGAGGCCAGAGUUUCAACUCCUGCUUGGCAAUGGAAACUUACUGGGUGACCUUGAACAAAUCACACCCUUGGCUUCAGAAGAAGGCAAAGGAAACCUCCUCUGAACAAGUUUUGCCAAGAAAUCCCUGCGAUUGAUUCACCUUGACAUGACUUGAAGUCACACAACAACCAAUCUUCAGGGUAGAAAGGUUGCAGCUUUCUGCAAGUAAUGCACAACCCUCUCCCCUCUUUUCUAAAUCAUCAGUACCAUCAGAAUACAAUCAGAAUUGACUUUUCCCUUUUUAUUUAAUACUGCAUUUAUUCUACUGAAGGCUGAGUCUAAAAACAAAGCCAGAGAAAUCCCGUAUCACAAUUGCUUUAUUUAUCAGUAUCAAAUUACAUAGUAAAGUAAUGAAGAACAUUUUGAGAAUGUCUCCUUUGAAUACUGUAGUACAAGUAAAAGAAAAUCUUGCAUUUAUUUGAAGUACAUUAUUGUUUUAAAACUGUGCGUUAAAAUAAAAGAAUUCUUUUGGCAUAUCUUGAUGAGAUUGCCUGCACGAACAUUUCUGUACUUCAUUUUCACACAUGUAUACAUUUAUAUACAUAUACAUAUACACUUUGAGAGACAACCUCAAGCUCACAACUAGGGAGAGUCCUCUUAUGGGAUUUAUUUAUAUAAAAAAAUACCCUGAUCCUGCUGUGAAGGAAAUGGCAUCCCAAAGCUAACUCAAGUGUUAAGGAUCAUGGUCCCACCCUCACUUACAAAUCCUUCUAAAUUUCCCAAAGCAGCAUUCUACAAGUUAGCACUCUUCAGAUGUUUGAUGACAGCCCUCAUCAUCUUACUGAACAUUGCAACAGAGACAUGGAAUGAAGAUGAUGGAAGUUAUUGUCCAACACACAUGAGCACACAGAGGAUUUUUUUUCUCAUGUCCACCAUUGCAAUACUGCUAAUUCUGUCUUCCACUAGUAGAGUAUGUUGAUGAUUUUUCACUUGGCUGAGGUGACUAGCACAGGACAGGGUGAUAUACCCUACAGGAAUAUACUAAACGUGUUAACAGCAGCCAAACAACUGUGGAUGUCCUCAUAUAGUGUUGUUGCUAGAAACUGCACUAAAGAGUCCCAAGCUGAACAGAGCCUGGCCUCUUAUUUAAGACAUGCAGGACACUGUUGGUUGGAGAGAGGUAGAGGGGAUCAAAACAAAGAUGUGUGAAAAGUACACGUGAAUAGAAGUACAGAAACCUCAAUGCAGGGUAACUGGGGAAGGAGGGAAAGGCAAGCAGCGCCUCCUCUUGAGCCAUUGAGUGGCCCAGGAUCAGUGGAAGUCAGGCUUCUCUGGGAAGGUGCAGCCGGAACGUUUUAUAAUCACACUGGCAGCAUAGUGUCCGGCUCGGAUGCACUCUGUCAGCGGUCGGUCGUACACAAGCUGAGAAAGGAAACCUGAAGAACAAGACAGAAACAAAGCAUUAAAACAAUCUGGGAACCUGCCUAUUAAGCUCUAUGUGAAGAGGUUAAAAACACUUUUAUUUAUCACACUUGUAUCUUGGUCCAUUCCAUGGAUAUAUUGUACUUACUGAAGUUUUUCAAAGUUCAAGAAUGUUGGCCUCAAAUGGCUCACGAACCCCUAUUAACUAGAUGAUUUGGCUCGUUGAGCCAGCUUUUUGGAGUAUUAUAUUUUACUGAUAAACUAUUAAACAGUAUGUGCUAGAGCUAGUUCAAAGAAUGCUCAAUAGUUCAAACUGACUCAUAUGUUCCCAAAAGCAUUAUUUACAAUUACACACUCUUCCGCUCCCCUCCCCCUGUUACAUUCUUGUAUUCAAGUACAUCUUGUUUAAUGCAAAUCUGGCACAGUGCGUUAAAGCGCUGAGCUGCUAAACUUGCGGACCAAAAGGUCCCAGGUUCAAAUCCCGGGAGCAGAAUGAGCGCCCGCUGUUAGCCCCAGCUCCUGCCAACCUAGCAGUUCGAAAACAUGCAAAUGUGAGUAGAUCAAUAGGUACUGCUCCGGCGGGAAGGUAACGGCGCUCCAUGCAGUCAUGCUGGCCACAUGACCUUGGAAGUGUCUAUGGACAACGCCGGCUCUUCGGCUUAGAAAUGGAGAUGAGCACCAACCCCCAGAGUCAGUCACGACUGGACUUAAUGCCAGGGGAAACCUUUACCUACCUUGUCCCUCCAAUUAGAACCGGAGUCCAUUCUCAAGCUAAAGGUUACAGUUCUAGUUUUGAGAGCAAAUGAAAAAUAUUGAUUGCCCAUUUGGAUGAAAAGAUAAACCAGCAAUUCCCAAAGUGGGCGCUACCGCCUCCUGGUGGGUGCUGCAGCGAUCUAGGGGUGAUGAUGGCCACAGGUGCAUUUGCCAUUUGCAUUAAUACAUAUAUCUUUCUGUUCAAUUACUAUUAAAAUUAAAAAAUUAAUUUCCAGGGGGUGCUAAGUAAUAUGUUUUCUGUAAAGAGGACGGUAGGCCAGUGGUUUGGGAACCACUGAGAUAAACUAUAAUUUGUGUCAAACAAGAAAACGGUUUAUGAGCUGGAGCAGACUGAAAGAACAUGUAAGUAAGACUCUAAUUGAUGUAACAUCAAACUAUGGUUGAUGGACCAAGUCCUGUAACUCUACCAGGAAGGUAGACAUCAAAUCACAUUCAUGUCUUGCAAUUUAGCUUGCCUCCACCAGCAGCACAGACUUCUUUAAGCUGAUUGAAUGCUGUUAUUUAAUCCAACUCAAUCAAUGAAAGCAUUUU
Molecule: long non-coding RNA, 5556 nt
Organism: Anolis carolinensis (green anole)
Lineage: Eukaryota; Metazoa; Chordata; Lepidosauria; Squamata; Anolidae
Exons: 4
Source: RefSeq, a predicted model, not a curated record